Molecule: ribosomal RNA, 253 nt
Filed under: uncultured bacterium
Lineage: Bacteria
Description: partial 16S ribosomal RNA
Rfam family: Bacterial small subunit ribosomal RNA
Source: RNAcentral
UACAUGGGGUGCAAACGUUGCUCGGAAUUAUUGGGCGUAAAGCGCACGUAGGCGGUUUGUUAAGGCGGAUGUGAAAUCCCUCGGCUCAACUGAGGAAGUGCACCCGAAACUGGCAGGCUUGAGUACUAAAGAGGGUCGCGGAAUUCCCGGUGUAGAGGUGAAAUUCGUAGAUAUCGGGAGGAACACCGGUGGCGAAGGCGGCGACCUGGGUAGAUACUGACGCUGAGGUGCGAAAGCGUGGGGAGCAAACAGG